AAAUUGAAGAGUUUGAUCAUGGCUCAGAUUGAACGCUGGCGGCAGGCCUAACACAUGCAAGUCGAGCGGUAGCACAGAGAGCUUGCUCUCGGGUGACGAGCGGCGGACGGGUGAGUAAUGUCUGGGAAACUGCCUGAUGGAGGGGGAUAACUACUGGAAACGGUAGCUAAUACCGCAUAACGUCGCAAGACCAAAGUGGGGGACCUUCGGGCCUCAUGCCAUCAGAUGUGCCCAGAUGGGAUUAGCUAGUAGGUGGGGUAACGGCUCACCUAGGCGACGAUCCCUAGCUGGUCUGAGAGGAUGACCAGCCACACUGGAACUGAGACACGGUCCAGACUCCUACGGGAGGCAGCAGUGGGGAAUAUUGCACAAUGGGCGCAAGCCUGAUGCAGCCAUGCCGCGUGUGUGAAGAAGGCCUUCGGGUUGUAAAGCACUUUCAGCGGGGAGGAAGGCGNUAAGGUUAAUAACCUUGNCGAUUGACGUUACCCGCAGAAGAAGCACCGGCUAACUCCGUGCCAGCAGCCGCGGUAAUACGGAGGGUGCAAGCGUUAAUCGGAAUUACUGGGCGUAAAGCGCACGCAGGCGGUCUGUCAAGUCGGAUGUGAAAUCCCCGGGCUNAACCUGGGAACUGCAUUCGAAACUGGCAGGCUAGAGUCUUGUAGAGGGGGGUAGAAUUCCAGGUGUAGCGGUGAAAUGCGUAGAGAUCUGGAGGAAUACCGGUGGCGAAGGCGGCCCCCUGGACAAAGACUGACGCUCAGGUGCGAAAGCGUGGGGAGCAAACAGGAUUAGAUACCCUGGUAGUCCACGCCGUAAACGAUGUCGAUUUGGAGGUUGUGCCCUUGAGGCGUGGCUUCCGGAGCUAACGCGUUAAAUCGACCGCCUGGGGAGUACGGCCGCAAGGUUAAAACUCAAAUGAAUUGACGGGGGCCCGCACAAGCGGUGGAGCAUGUGGUUUAAUUCGAUGCAACGCGAAGAACCUUACCUGGUCUUGACAUCCACAGAACUUNNCAGAGAUGNNUUGGUGCCUUCGGGAACUGUGAGACAGGUGCUGCAUGGCUGUCGUCAGCUCGUGUUGUGAAAUGUUGGGUUAAGUCCCGCAACGAGCGCAACCCUUAUCCUUUGUUGCCAGCGGUNNGGCCGGGAACUCAAAGGAGACUGCCAGUGAUAAACUGGAGGAAGGUGGGGAUGACGUCAAGUCAUCAUGGCCCUUACGACCAGGGCUACACACGUGCUACAAUGGCAUAUACAAAGAGAAGCGACCUCGCGAGAGCAAGCGGACCUCAUAAAGUAUGUCGUAGUCCGGAUUGGAGUCUGCAACUCGACUCCAUGAAGUCGGAAUCGCUAGUAAUCGUAGAUCAGAAUGCUACGGUGAAUACGUUCCCGGGCCUUGUACACACCGCCCGUCACACCAUGGGAGUGGGUUGCAAAAGAAGUAGGUAGCUUAACCUUCGGGAGGGCGCUUACCACUUUGUGAUUCAUGACUGGGGUGAAGUCGUAACAAGGUAACCGUAGGGGAACCUGCGGUUGGAUCACCUCCUUACCUUAAAGAA
This 1550-nucleotide ribosomal RNA is filed under the name Klebsiella pneumoniae. RNAcentral's name for it is "bacterial SSU rRNA". It matches the Rfam family "Bacterial small subunit ribosomal RNA". The record is from RNAcentral. Lineage: Bacteria; Pseudomonadati; Pseudomonadota; Gammaproteobacteria; Enterobacterales; Enterobacteriaceae.